This 254-nucleotide ribosomal RNA is filed under the name uncultured bacterium. RNAcentral describes it as "partial 16S ribosomal RNA". It matches the Rfam family "Bacterial small subunit ribosomal RNA", at positions 524 to 776 of the family's 1533-position model. The record is from RNAcentral.
UACGGGGGGAGCAAGCGUUGUUCGGAUUUACUGGGCGUAAAGGGCGCGUAGGCGGCCAGCACAAGUCAGUUGUGAAAUCUCCGAGCUUAACUCGGAAAGGUCAACUGAUACUGUGCGGCUAGAGUGCAGAAGGGGCAACUGGAAUUCUUGGUGUAGCGGUGAAAUGCGUAGAUAUCAAGAGGAACACCUGCGGCGAAGGCGGCCACCUGGGCCGACCCUGACGCUGAGGCGCGAAGGCGUGGGGAGCGAACGGG